This is a long non-coding RNA of Ostrea edulis (European flat oyster), 502 nucleotides long. RefSeq lists it as uncharacterized. The transcript is spliced from 3 exons. NCBI's taxonomy places the organism in Eukaryota, Metazoa, Mollusca, Bivalvia, Ostreida, Ostreidae. The record is from RefSeq and is a predicted model, not a curated record.
UUUAAAUAUUUUUUUUUUUCAAGAUUCGCGGGACCUUAUUAAAUCACAUUCAAAUAUGCAAACAUUCCCAAGUCGUGUGGACUUGGACAAAGUUUAUUUUUAUUAUCUAUUUUUAGAUUAUGGACCCUGGGCUUAUGAGUUGGGGCUAAAAUCAAGGAUAAAAUACUUGAUACAUCCCCAUAGACAAAAAUCUUGUUCUACAGACCACAACAGCAAGAUCAUGGAGGUGACCAUUCUACAUUGAUCCAGUGCCUUUUUAUGGGAUUCGAAACUGUGACUGUGAGAUGUAUGAGAGUUUGACUUCUAGGCGGGCAAUUCUACUUUCACUUUAAACGGAUGGCAGGUGCCUGAGUGUAUCUCGACCCAUUUCCAGGCUAGCAUCAGAUGUCAUGAUGGACCUUUAAAAUCUUUCACAUGUGUACUUUCAAGAACCAUAUACAUUAUUUUUGAAAAUUGGUUGCCAUGGUAAUAAAAUCUGAAAAUUAAAACAUGGGCUUCUGAA